UUCGCAAUGCCCGAAAGGGUGACGAAGCGACGCCGCGUGUGGGAAGAAGGCCUUCGGGUUGUAAACCACUGUCGGGAGUUAAGAAGUGUAGGGGGGUUAAUAGUCUCCUUACUUGACGUUAGCUCCGGAGGAAGCCACGGCUAACUCUGUGCCAGCAGCCGCGGUAAUACAGAGGUGGCAAGCGUUGUUCGGAAUUAUUGGGCGUAAAGAGCACGUAGGCGGCCCUGCAAGUCAGCUGUGAAAUCCUUCUGCUCAACGGAAGAACGGCAGUUGAUACUAUAGGGCUCGAGUGCGGGAGGGGAGAGUGGAACUUCUGGUGGAGCGGUGAAAUGCGUAGAUAUCAGAAGGAACAUCGGCGGCGAAGGCGACUCUCUGGCCCGUAACCGACGCUGAGGUGCGAAAGCUAGGGGAGCAAACGGGAUUAGAUACCCCGGUAGUCCUAGCCGUGAACGAUGGGCACUAAGUAGAGGGGUU
Molecule: ribosomal RNA, 474 nt
Filed under: uncultured bacterium
Lineage: Bacteria
Description: bacterial SSU rRNA
Rfam family: Bacterial small subunit ribosomal RNA
Source: RNAcentral